ACUCAAAUAGCUUAAAGAGAGCGUUAUGUUGAAGCCGUAAAAGUGGUAUGUUUGCCUUUGAGUA
RNAcentral lists this transfer RNA (64 nucleotides) under Acanthephyra sp. RNAcentral describes it as "tRNA-Phe". Lineage: Eukaryota; Metazoa; Arthropoda; Malacostraca; Decapoda; Oplophoridae. The record is from RNAcentral.